This 253-nucleotide ribosomal RNA is filed under the name uncultured bacterium. RNAcentral's name for it is "partial 16S ribosomal RNA". It matches the Rfam family "Bacterial small subunit ribosomal RNA", at positions 524 to 776 of the family's 1533-position model. The record is from RNAcentral.
AACGUAGGACACGAGCGUUAUCCGGAGUUACUGGGCGUAAAGGGCGUUUAGGCGGGUGACUAAGUUCGCUAUGAAAGCGCCGGGCUAAACCCGGCGAGGCUGGCGGAUACUGGUGAUCUGGAGUGAGGUAGAGGGAAGUAGAAUUCCGCGUGUAGUGGUGAGAUGCGUAGAGAUGCGGAGGAAUACCAGUGGCGAAGGCGACUUCCUGGACCUUAACUGACGCUGAAGCGCGAAAGCAUGGGGAGCGAACGGG